UUAAAUUGAAGAGUUUGAUCAUGGCUCAGAUUGAACGCUGGCGGCAGGCCUAACACAUGCAAGUCGAACGGUAACAGGAAGAAGCUUGCUUCUUUGCUGACGAGUGGCGGACGGGUGAGUAAUGUCUGGGAA
RNAcentral lists this ribosomal RNA (132 nucleotides) under Escherichia coli. RNAcentral's name for it is "partial 16S ribosomal RNA". It matches the Rfam family "Bacterial small subunit ribosomal RNA", at positions 1 to 123 of the family's 1533-position model. The record is from RNAcentral. Lineage: Bacteria; Pseudomonadati; Pseudomonadota; Gammaproteobacteria; Enterobacterales; Enterobacteriaceae.